AGCGCGGUAUACGGAGGGUGCAAGCGUUACUCGGAAUCACUGGGCGUAAAGGAUGCGUAGGCGGAAGAUCAAGUUGAGAGUGAAAUCCUAUGGCUUAACCAUAGAACUGCUUUCAAAACUGGUUUUCUAGAAUGUGGGAGAGGCAGAUGGAAUUGGUGGUGUAGGGGUAAAAUCCGUAGAGAUCACCAGGAAUACCCAUUGCGAAGGCGAUCUGCUGGAACACAAUUGACGCUGAGGCAUGAAAGCGUGGGGAGCAAACAGGAUUAGAUACCCUGGUAGUCCACGCCCUAAACGAUGUACACUAGUUGUUGCCCUGCUAGUCAGGGCAGUAAUACAGUUAACACAUUAAGUGUACCGCCUGGGGAGUACGGUCGCAAGAUUAAAACUCAAAGGAAUAGACGGGACCCGCACAAGCGGUGGAGCAUGUGGUUUAAUUCGAAGAUACGCGAAGAACCUUACCCUGGACUUGAUAUCCCUUGGAAUCUCUCAGAGAUGAGAGAGUGCUAGUUCGCUAGAGCCAAGUGACAGGUGCUGCACGGCUGUCGUCAGCUCGUGUCGUGAGAUGUUGGGUUAAGUCCCGCAACGAGCGCAACCCUCGUCCUUAGUUGCUAACAGUUUGGCUGAGCACUCUAAGGAGACUGCCUUCGUAAGGAGGAGGAAGGUGAGGACGACGUCAAGUCAUCAUGGCCCUUAUGUCCAGGGCUACACACGUGCUAUAAUGGAGGGGACAAAGAGAAGCAAUACUGCGAGGUGGAGCAAAUCUUAAAACCCUUUCUCAGUUCGGAUUGGAGUCUGCAACUCGACUCCAUGAAGCUGGAAUCGCUAGUAAUCGUAAAUCAGCAAUGUUACGGUGAAUACGUUCCCGGGUCUUGUACUCACCGCCCGUCACACCAUGGGAGUUGAAUUCACCCGAAGCCGGAAUGCCAGACUGGCUACCGACCACGGUGGGUUCAGCGACUGGGGUGAAGUCGUAACAAGGUAGCCGU
RNAcentral lists this ribosomal RNA (986 nucleotides) under uncultured Sulfurospirillum sp. RNAcentral's name for it is "bacterial SSU rRNA". It matches the Rfam family "Bacterial small subunit ribosomal RNA", at positions 513 to 1503 of the family's 1533-position model. Lineage: Bacteria; Pseudomonadati; Campylobacterota; Epsilonproteobacteria; Campylobacterales; Sulfurospirillaceae. The record is from RNAcentral.